GAUGAACGCUGGCGGCGUGCCUAAUACAUGCAAGUCGAGCGAACGGACGAGAAGCUUGCUUCUCUGAUGUUAGCGGCGGACGGGUGAGUAACACGUGGAUAACCUACCUAUAAGACUGGGAUAACUUCGGGAAACCGAAGCUAAUACCGGAUGAUAUUUUGAACCGCAUGGUUCAAAAGUGAAAGACGGUCUUGCUGUCACUUAUAGAUGGAUCCGCGCUGCAUUAGCUAGUUGGUAAGGUAACGGCUUACCAAGGCAACGAUGCAUAGCCGACCUGAGAGGGUGAUCGGCCACACUGGAACUGAGACACGGUCCAGACUCCUACGGGAGGCAGCAGUAGGGAAUCUUCCGCAAAGGGCGAAAGCCUGACGGAGCAACGCCGCGUGAGUGAUGAAGGUCUUCGGAUCGUAAAACUCUGUUAUUAGGGAAGAACAUAUGUGUAAGUAACUGUGCAAAUCUUGACGGUACCUAAUCAGAAAGCCACGGCUAACUACGUG
This 497-nucleotide ribosomal RNA is filed under the name uncultured bacterium. Its description in RNAcentral is "partial 16S ribosomal RNA". It matches the Rfam family "Bacterial small subunit ribosomal RNA", at positions 28 to 507 of the family's 1533-position model. The record is from RNAcentral.